Mastomys coucha (southern multimammate mouse) is the source of this 302-nucleotide long non-coding RNA. RefSeq lists it as uncharacterized. The record is from RefSeq and is a predicted model, not a curated record. Lineage: Eukaryota; Metazoa; Chordata; Mammalia; Rodentia; Muridae. The transcript is spliced from 2 exons.
CCUGAGGACUUUAAGAGGUAGAGAAACCCAGAGGUCUCAAUAAAGUUAGACUUCUGUUGGCCAGCUUUGUCUCUCCUUUAUCAGUCAGUGACCACUCUACUCCAGGCCAGCUCCUCAGUGAGGGAAGUGUCCCAGACGGAACCAAGUGAAGAUGCCGGCAGCAGCCUCUAACACCUAUACAAAGUUGAACUGUACCUGGGAAGAACGGAGAAAUGAGGUGGGAUGUCCUAAGAGACCCCACCCCCACCCUGCCCCCACCCAUCCCCGCCCCAGGCUCAACUUGCUUGACUGAGUUCACUCUC